GCUGUGGAACUCCUACGGGAGGCAGCAGUGGGGAAUUUUGGACAAUGGGGGCAACCCUGAUCCAGCAAUGCCGCGUGAGUGAAGAAGGCCUUCGGAUUGUAAAGCACUUUAAGUUGGGAGGAAGGGUUGUAGAUUAAUACUCUGCAAUUUUGACGGUACCUGAAGAAUAAGCACCGGCUAACUACGUGCCAGCAGCCGCGGUAAUACGUAGGGUGCAAGCGUUAAUCGGAAUUACUGGGCGUAAAGCGUGCGCAGGCGGUUGUGUAAGUCAGAUGUGAAAUCCCCGGGCUCAACCUGGGAAUUGCAUUUGAGACUGCACGGCUAGAGUGUGUCAGAGGGGGGUAGAAUUCCACGUGUAGCAGUGAAAUGCGUAGAUAUGUGGAGGAAUACCGAUGGCGAAGGCAGCCCCCUGGGAUAACACUGACGCUCAUGCACGAAAGCGUGGGGAGCAAACAGGAUUAGAAACCCCGGUAGUCAUACCACGU
Molecule: ribosomal RNA, 485 nt
Filed under: uncultured bacterium
Lineage: Bacteria
Description: bacterial SSU rRNA
Rfam family: Bacterial small subunit ribosomal RNA
Source: RNAcentral